This 517-nucleotide ribosomal RNA is filed under the name Listeria monocytogenes. RNAcentral describes it as "bacterial SSU rRNA". It matches the Rfam family "Bacterial small subunit ribosomal RNA", at positions 202 to 711 of the family's 1533-position model. Lineage: Bacteria; Bacillati; Bacillota; Bacilli; Caryophanales; Listeriaceae. The record is from RNAcentral.
AUGGUUUCGGCUAUCGCUUACAGAUGGGCCCGCGGUGCAUUAGCUAGUUGGUAGGGUAAUGGCCUACCAAGGCAACGAUGCAUAGCCGACCUGAGAGGGUGAUCGGCCACACUGGGACUGAGACACGGCCCAGACUCCUACGGGAGGCAGCAGUAGGGAAUCUUCCGCAAUGGACGAAAGUCUGACGGAGCAACGCCGCGUGUAUGAAGAAGGUUUUCGGAUCGUAAAGUACUGUUGUUAGAGAAGAACAAGGAUAAGAGUAACUGCUUGUCCCUUGACGGUAUCUAACCAGAAAGCCACGGCUAACUACGUGCCAGCAGCCGCGGUAAUACGUAGGUGGCAAGCGUUGUCCGGAUUUAUUGGGCGUAAAGCGCGCGCAGGCGGUCUUUUAAGUCUGAUGUGAAAGCCCCCGGCUUAACCGGGGAGGGUCAUUGGAAACUGGAAGACUGGAGUGCAGAAGAGGAGAGUGGAAUUCCACGUGUAGCGGUGAAAUGCGUAGAUAUGUGGAGGAACACCA